This 468-nucleotide ribosomal RNA is filed under the name uncultured bacterium. RNAcentral's name for it is "partial 16S ribosomal RNA". It matches the Rfam family "Bacterial small subunit ribosomal RNA", at positions 28 to 507 of the family's 1533-position model. The record is from RNAcentral.
GACGAACGCUGGCGGCGUGCUUAACACAUGCAGGUCGAACGGAAAGGCCCUGCUUUUGUGGGGUGCUCGAGUGGCGAAUGGGUGAGUAACACGUGAGUAACCUGCCCUUGACUUUGGGAUAACUUCAGGAAACUGGGGCUAAUACCGGAUAGGAGCUCCUGCUGCAUGGUGGGGGUUGGAAAGUUUCGGCGGUUGGGGAUGGACUCGCGGCUUAUCAGCUUGUUGGUGGGGUAGUGGCUUACCAAGGCUUUGACGGGUAGCCGGCCUGAGAGGGUGACCGGCCACAUUGGGACUGAGAUACGGCCCAGACUCCUACGGGAGGCAGCAGUGGGGAAUAUUGCACAAUGGGCGGAAGCCUGAUGCAGCAACGCCGCGUGCGGGAUGACGGCCUUCGGGUUGUAAACCGCUUUCGCCUGUGACGAAGCGUGAGUGACGGUAAUGGGUAAAGAAGCACCGGCUAACUACGUG